Molecule: transfer RNA, 76 nt
Filed under: Oscillospiraceae bacterium
Lineage: Bacteria; Bacillati; Bacillota; Clostridia; Eubacteriales; Oscillospiraceae
Description: tRNA-Thr
Rfam family: tRNA
About the family: Transfer RNA (tRNA) molecules are approximately 80 nucleotides in length.
Source: RNAcentral
GCUGGAUUAGCUCAGCCGGUAGAGCACUUGAUUCGUAAUCAUGAGGUCGUCGGUUCAAGUCCGACAUCCAGCUCCA